RNAcentral lists this ribosomal RNA (467 nucleotides) under uncultured bacterium. RNAcentral describes it as "partial 16S ribosomal RNA". It matches the Rfam family "Bacterial small subunit ribosomal RNA", at positions 28 to 507 of the family's 1533-position model. The record is from RNAcentral.
GACGAACGCUGGCGGCGUGCUUAACACAUGCCAGUCCAACGGAAAGGCUCCAGCUUGCUGGCGUACUCGAGUGGCGAACGGGUGAGUAACACGUGGGUAAUCUGCCCUGCACUCUGGGAUAAGCCUGGGAAACUGGGUCUAAUACUGGAUAUGACCUUUCUCCUUAUGGGGUUUGGUGGAAAGUUUUUCGGUGUAGGAUGAGCCCGCGGCCUAUCAGCUUGUUGGUGGGGUGAUGGCCUACCAAGGCGACGACGGGUAGCCGGCCUGAGAGGGUGAUCGGCCACAUUGGGACUGAGAUACGGCCCAGACUCCUACGGGAGGCAGCAGUGGGGAAUAUUGCACAAUGGGCGGAAGCCUGAUGCAGCGACGCCGCGUGAGGGAUGACGGCCUUCGGGUUGUAAACCUCUUUCAGCAGGGACGAAGCGUAAGUGACGGUACCUGCAGAAGAAGCACCGGCUAACUAUGUG